This is a non-coding RNA of Heterocephalus glaber (naked mole-rat), 2361 nucleotides long. NCBI's taxonomy places the organism in Eukaryota, Metazoa, Chordata, Mammalia, Rodentia, Bathyergidae. The record is from RefSeq and is a predicted model, not a curated record.
GCCCUCCCGGGCUGAGGCAGUCGGCUCCCGGCGCUGGACCCGGGGCUGCGGGCGGGGCCGGACGCGCCCGGCUCGGCGCCCCCGAGUCAAAGCCCCGGCCCCUACUCGCACCCCGAACCGCCCCGCCUCCAUCCUGGCUGCUCCUGGCGCCCAGCUUGGCAGCCUCUCUCAAAGGCAGGGACAAGCUCCUGAGUGGGAUCUCAGGGCCAUGGCAGUGAGGAGGCCUGUGCUCCACCAGCUCUGAAGAUACCAGCUACGUGAUGGGCUGAGGUCUUUAAUCAGUCUUGUCUCUAAGUCGAGAACAGGGUUGCACUAAGUGGCCCCUUGGGAUCCUAAGAGGCUGCGGCCUUGGGGUGCAGUUUGCAGGUGUCUGCAUUGCCCUCUAGCUCAUGGAAGCUUGAGCAGCUGGAGCGGGAAGGGCAGCAAGCUUCAUCUCACUAAUCAUGGAAUCCACAGCCAUGAUUUUGCUGAUGAGGGCAGAAAGGCCCAAGGAGGAGUCCACCAUCAUGCAGUGCACGUGCUCACCCACCAUUGCCCAGGCAGGGACACAAGAAACUCACAGUGAGAGCACCAGGCACCACCAAGAAGCCCUAGGAACACUGACCCUGUCUCUACAGUGGGGUGAGUCCUGGGGACCCAGUCCUGCUCUGACUCUGCACAGCGGUAUGUAUGUGUGGGUGGUUGAGUUUGGAGCUCUGAGUCUUUUAUUAAGGUGCCUCUGCUCUGAGCUUCGGAUUGUGGCACACCCUUGUUGCCCAUGGUAAACUGGAGGUGGCUAUUUGGUGCAGAGACUCUCAGAUCCCACUUGCUUGCCUCUUUCCCAACCUUCUGAAUUCUCUCAGGUAUCCCAGUCCUUGGAAGAGUAUAGGUGUGUGGCAGUGGAGUGCAGUGUCAUUUAAUGGUCCCUGUGCUUUGCUUUCUGUGGCUGAAGGAAGCCUGAGAGGAGUGGAGCCCUGUGCCUCAGUGAGGGCAACUCUGGGACAAGUCUGGGGUGUUCUGUGGCCUGUUGGAGAUGUGUGAGGAACCCAGUUGCCCCUUGUGGAGUCCACUCUUCCAGAUUUCCUGAAAGCUCCUUCCAGCCGGGCUCUGAGGCCCUUGCUCUUUCCCUCAGCCUCCCCUGACCAUCAGGGAUCACAGGCAGUGAACUACUUUUCUCCUGAGUCCCAUAGCACUUAGUUCUGGACAUCUCUGUGGGCUUGUCUUCACGUCUACAUGCUUUUAUUUAUUUCCCUAAUAUAUACUGAGCUCCUGUCAUAUGGUUCUUCCUGCCUGAGAGAGAGAGAGCGAGAGGGGAGAAGAAUGACAGCCACUAGGAUGGUUAACUUGACUGGGCCCUUUGUGUAUACCAGGCAUUGUUUUAAGUCUCUGAUUUUAUAAUGUAAGGGGUUACUUAGGAGAUGGUAAGUUUCUAUAAUAGUUUCAUUUUGUAUGUCAGCAAUCUGGGGCAUAGUAUGUAGGUAACUUAAUCAAGGUCACAUGCUCACUAAGUGGCAAAGUUGGCCUUUGGUCAGGUGAUUGAGUUCCAGACUUUUCAGCUGUGUGUUCCCUGGGGGCUGACUGCUGGUGGAUGCCAGAGAGAUACACAAGACACUCAUGGAUAUGGAAGGUGACAAACUGGGUCAAACCAGCUCACGGGCAAGAGAGCACCCAGAGGAGGCUGAGGGAAGGUGUCUUCAAGAAGGUUGCCCUGGAGCAGAGGCCCGCAGAAGGGCCAGUGGUGUAUGGUGUUGGGAGAACAGAACCCAGACCAGCAGACAGCAUUGGCACAGCAAGGCUGGUGUGCGGCGAGAAGGAUGUUCUCUUCACAGUGCAGGACUCGUGUGCAGGACUGGGCUCAUGCACUGGUGUCUUCUAGGGAGAAGCUGUUCAAUAAAUAUGAUGGAUGUAGUUGUUUAAUUUCCUGCCUAACUCCCAUCCACAGCUGGGGUGAUGGGCAAACAUGGACUCCUCACACUGUCUUUCUGCAUUUGGAAGACAUAACCAGGGAGUUUGAAGACUUCCCUCACAGGUGCUUUGGUUUCAUUCUUCCAUUUCUUCAUUCAGUCAUCCCAAUUUCACUGAGCUUACUUUGGCUGAAAAUGCAGAAAUGAAAGACUAGCUCUUGCUUCCAGUCCAUGGCCCUCUCAAGAUGAGGCAUCUGUGUCUCAGUUUCAUUGUCUGCCUUUCCCCAUGAGCCUUCCCCUGGACUCUUCUGAGGGAAGGGAGACACAGGCAGAGGACAGGUUGUUGGGAAGUUUGUGGGGACCUGGGCUGGGGCUACUGCAGGUGCAAAACCUGGGAGAGAAGGAAGAGCAAGCAAUGCAAAGCUGCCUCCAAGUAUGUUUUUAUCACCUAAAAAUAGUCGGGGCUGUAAUGACUUUU